UAACAUUUGAACACAAAGCUUUGUGAGAUACAACUAUUUUUGUAGUUAAAAAAUUUAACAAAUAAUGCUGUUAAGCUGACGCAAAUUCCAAUCAAUGAAACAAUAUGAGCGCAUUGUAACAAGUCAAUUUUGAAAAGUGAUAAACCCCAUUAUAAAUCGAGUCAUUUAUUGGUAACCAAGUUACUACCAAGUAAACACAAUCAACUAAAUCAACAUCACUCACCAAUGAUGAUGAUGGUGAUGAUGAAUCAAUGACGGUUAUGAUUAUGCUUUGGAUAACGAUGGACCAUGACACAAUGAUACCUGAACAUGCACACACAAAAUAUACUCUCAAACAAAUGGAUGGCGAAAAAAAAAAUCACGCUAAUUCGAUAAAAAGAAAGGAACUGGCCAUUUCAAGAGAAGAGAUAUUACAAAAGAUAAUGAAAUGGUUUACCAACUUGAAGCUUCUACAUCAACCUAAACUCGCAAGAUUUGGUCAAAGUCCUUGAAAGGAUGAAAACACAAUCGUUAAUAUUGGCAUGGAAGGGAAAAAGAAAGUACUCUUCAAUGGAUUGGAUGAAUUUGUUCAUGAUGAAUUAACCAAAACGAAAAAGGACAAAACAAAGGAAACCAAAGAGGAUACCAAAUCUGCAGGCCUCUAAAUUUUUGGCUUAUACAACUCACUACAUAAACCAGCAGACAAACAAACGAUUCUACCUUCUCUUCCUCAUAUUACCGUACCUCGAUAAUAUAAUUAUAUACAUAUAUAUAUAUAUAAAUAUAAGCACAAAACUGUUCACCAUGCCAACUAUUAAUCUAACAAGCCUCACUUUCACCACCAGUAAAACCACUACUCGAUACACUCUCACACUUGAUUGUAACCACUCAACUCAAAUUGCAACGGCCUUGUCAACCAUUCACAAAACAGCCUUGUUUUUAUUUUCUACUUUGUCUCACUCUUUUCAAAUCAAACUACACUUUAUUCACUCCUUCAAUUUUACUCUUUUACCUUUUCAUCUAUCUUUCUUUCUUCUUCUCUCUCUCUCUUACCUACAACCUCUUUCUAUCAUCGAUCACACAUUUUAUGAUACUAAUCAUCAACAUCAUCAUCAUAGUCACCAUCAUUUUACGCUCAUCAUCGGCAUCAAGUUUCAUAUAUGUGUAUUUAUAUACAUAUAUACAAAUCUAAAUGUAUAUAUACAAAAAGAUAUUGAAUUAAAAGUGAAGAGAAAAAUAUAAA
Molecule: non-coding RNA, 1222 nt
Organism: Tetranychus urticae (two-spotted spider mite)
Lineage: Eukaryota; Metazoa; Arthropoda; Arachnida; Trombidiformes; Tetranychidae
Source: RefSeq, a predicted model, not a curated record